Brassica oleracea var. oleracea is the source of this 916-nucleotide long non-coding RNA. RefSeq lists it as uncharacterized. The record is from RefSeq and is a predicted model, not a curated record. The transcript is spliced from 3 exons. Lineage: Eukaryota; Viridiplantae; Streptophyta; Magnoliopsida; Brassicales; Brassicaceae.
UAAGGUUAUACAACAACCUCUGAUCUCAGUGAAGUCCGAUCUGAGUUUUUAUCAAUGGCGAAACUAAUCCUUAGCCUCGUCUCCGUGGUUCUUAUCGGCCUCGUCGCGAUCGCUUCCGCUGCAGUUAUCUUCGAGGAACGCUUUGAUGGGCUCCUUUCGGAUUGCCUCUUCGGUACUGUUCUUCAGCUACUCUUACAUUGUUUUCAGAGAACACCAUAGCUGACACUGGUUUGAGAAUAGAUAAUGGCAUUACAAUUUAUUUAUUUAAAGCGUUGUAACAUAACAAACCAAAGUUGUGGUGUGAAAAUUCUGGUUUGAAAAAAAAAAAAAAAAAAUCUGUAUAUAUACAGUUUUGAAACAAACCGAGUGGAAAUUGCCAACCGGAAAGAUUAGAAUGUUGAUUGGUUAAUCACAAUGGUAUGAACCACUGAAAAAAUUAACCAAUGAAAAUACUUUUGAAUUUGUGCACAUCAGUUGAUUGGUUGAGAACUUUUUGUUGAUCGAGCAAGAAAUUAAAUUUCAUCAUAUAAUACUCAUUUCAAAUUUGUGAUUGUCUAUAAACUUGUGAAUUAGUCUGAAAUAGAGAUGCACAGUUUCUUCCUUUGCUAUCUUCAUGGUCAUGCAAAUGGGGAUAUAAACAGUGAAUUUGUUUGAUGUAUAAUUCUAGUACGCGACUGAUCUACAUGCAAAAGUCAUAAUUAACGAUCUAAUAUUAACUUCCGUAUAAAUGGUUUUAGAAGAGAAAAGUUGCAUGUAUGUUACUAGUGAGAUAGAAGCAAAAUUUUAUGAGUUAAGUGGAUAUGGUUGACUUGAGAACACGUGCGGAAAUGUAGAAAAACACGAGCACAGUUCAAAGACAACGAAAUUUCUCUGCCGAAGACAUAUGCGAGUGCAUGCUGUCUUGCAACGUGUUCCA